AGCGGAAGCGUGCUGGGCCCAUA
This 23-nucleotide non-coding RNA is filed under the name Gallus gallus (chicken). Lineage: Eukaryota; Metazoa; Chordata; Aves; Galliformes; Phasianidae. RNAcentral also lists the same sequence under 1 other name. The record is from RNAcentral.